CCUACGGGUGGCAGCAGUGGGGGAUAUUGCACAAUGGGCGAAAGCCUGAUGCAGCGACGCAGCGUGAAUGAUGAAGGCCUUCGGUAUGUAAAGCUCUAUUAGCAGGGAAGAAAAUUACAGUAUGUAACCUAUUUGCCACGGACAACUACUUGUCAGCAGGCGUGGGAAUACGUAGGGGGCAAGGGUUCUCCGGAUUUACUGGGGGUAAAGUGAGCGUAGACGGUUAUGUAAGGCUGGAGUGAAAGCCCGGGGACCAAACCCAGGAUUGCUUUGGAGACUGUGAAACUGGAGUACAGGAGUGGCAGGCGGAAUUCCUGGUGUAGCGGUGAAAUGCGUAGAUAUAAGGAAGAACACCGACGGCGAAGGCAGCCUGCUGGACUGAAACUGACGCUGAGGCUCGAAAGCGUGGGGAGCAAACAGGAUUAGAUACCCGGGUAGUC
This 440-nucleotide ribosomal RNA is filed under the name uncultured bacterium. Its description in RNAcentral is "partial 16S ribosomal RNA". It matches the Rfam family "Bacterial small subunit ribosomal RNA", at positions 338 to 795 of the family's 1533-position model. The record is from RNAcentral.